GGGCCGUUAGCUCAGUUGGUAGAGCAGCGGACUUUUAAUCCGCGUGUCGCAGGUUCGAGCCCUGCACGGCCUACCA
RNAcentral lists this transfer RNA (76 nucleotides) under subsurface metagenome. RNAcentral describes it as "tRNA-Lys". It matches the Rfam family "tRNA". Rfam says of the family: Transfer RNA (tRNA) molecules are approximately 80 nucleotides in length. Their secondary structure includes four short double-helical elements and three loops (D, anti-codon, and T loops). The record is from RNAcentral.